This 701-nucleotide ribosomal RNA is filed under the name Geosmithia sp. CBS 101067. Its description in RNAcentral is "LSU rRNA". It matches the Rfam family "Eukaryotic large subunit ribosomal RNA", at positions 78 to 812 of the family's 3401-position model. The record is from RNAcentral. Lineage: Eukaryota; Fungi; Ascomycota; Sordariomycetes; Hypocreales; Bionectriaceae.
CCUCAGUAACGGCGAGUGAAGCGGCAACAGCUCAAAUUUGAAAUCUGGCCCCCAGGCCCGAGUUGUAAUUUGUAGAGGAUGCUUCUGGCGACGCGACUUCCGAGUUCCCUGGAACGGGACGCCAAAGAGGGUGAGAGCCCCGUCCGGUCGUUCGCCUAGCCUCUGUGAAGCUCCUUCGACGAGUCGAGUAGUUUGGGAAUGCUGCUCUAAAUGGGAGGUAUACGUCUUCUAAAGCUAAAUACCGGCCAGAGACCGAUAGCGCACAAGUAGAGUGAUCGAAAGAUGAAAAGCACUUUGAAAAGAGGGUUAAAUAGCACGUGAAAUUGCUGAAAGGGAAGCGCUUAUGACCAGACUUGGGCCAGGUGAAUCAUCCGGCGUUCUCGCCGGUGCACUUUGCCUGCCCAGGCCAGCAUCAGUUCGCUCCGGGGGAUAAAGGCUUCGGGAAUGUAGCUCCUCCGGGAGUGUUAUAGACCGUUGCGUAAUACCCUGGGGUGGACUGAGGUACGCGUUCUGCAAGGAUGCUGGCGUAAUGGUCAUCAGUGACCCGUCUUGAAACACGGACCAAGGAGUCGUCUUCGUAUGCGAGUGUUCGGGUGUAAAACCCCUACGCGUAAUGAAAGUGAACGUAGGAGAGAGCUUCGGCGCAUCUCCGACCGAUCCUGAUGUUCUCGGAUGGAUUUGAGUAAGAGCAUACGGGGCCG